RNAcentral lists this ribosomal RNA (460 nucleotides) under uncultured bacterium. RNAcentral describes it as "partial 16S ribosomal RNA". It matches the Rfam family "Bacterial small subunit ribosomal RNA", at positions 338 to 795 of the family's 1533-position model. The record is from RNAcentral.
CCUACGGGAGGCAGCAGUGAGGAAUAUUGGUCAAUGGACGAGAGUCUGAACCAGCCAAGUAGCGUGAAGGAUGACUGCCCUAUGGGUUGUAAACUUCUUUUAUAUGGGAAUAAAACGUUCCACGUGUGGGAUUUUGUAUGUACCAUAUGAAUAAGGAUCGGCUAACUCCGUGCCAGCAGCCGCGUUAAUACGGAGGAUCCGAGCGUUAUCCGGCUUUAUUGGGUUUAAAGGGAGCGUAGGUGGAUUGUUAAGUCAGUUGUGAAAGUUUGCGGCUCAACCGUAAAAUUGCAGUUGAAACUGGCAGUCUUGAGGACAGUAGAGGUGGGCGGAAUUCGUGGUGUAGCGGUGAAAUGCUUAGAUAUCACGAAGAACUCCGAUUGCGAAGGCAGUUCACUGGACUGCAACUGACACUGAGGCUCGAAAGUGUGGGUAUCAAACAGGAUUAGAUACCCGAGUAGUC